UGGGGGAAUAUUGGUCAAUGGGCGAGAGCCUGAACCAGCCAAGUCGCGUGAGGGACGAAGGCCCUACGGGUUGUAAACCUCUUUUAUAAGGGAAUAAAGGGCGCCACGUGUGACGCAUUGCAUGUACCUUAUGAAUAAGCAUCGGCUAACUCCGUGCCAGCAGCCGCGGUAAUACGGAGGAUGCGAGCGUUAUCCGGAUUCAUUGGGUUUAAAGGGUGCGUAGGUGGCUUGUUAAGUCAGCGGUGAAAGUCAGUGGCUCAACCAUUGAAUUGCCGUUGAAACUGGCGAGCUUGAGUACGUACGGGGCAGGCGGAAUGCGUGGUGUAGCGGUGAAAUGCAUAGAUAUCACACAGAACACCGAUUGCGAAGGCAUCUCACGAAUCCGCAAUUGACGCUGAGGCACGAAAGUGUGGGGAUCAAACAGGAUUAGAUACCCUGGUAGU
RNAcentral lists this ribosomal RNA (443 nucleotides) under uncultured Parabacteroides sp. RNAcentral's name for it is "bacterial SSU rRNA". It matches the Rfam family "Bacterial small subunit ribosomal RNA", at positions 354 to 794 of the family's 1533-position model. Lineage: Bacteria; Pseudomonadati; Bacteroidota; Bacteroidia; Bacteroidales; Tannerellaceae. The record is from RNAcentral.